Molecule: long non-coding RNA, 3585 nt
Organism: Planococcus citri (citrus mealybug)
Lineage: Eukaryota; Metazoa; Arthropoda; Insecta; Hemiptera; Pseudococcidae
Exons: 3
Source: RefSeq, a predicted model, not a curated record
AAAAUUUGCUACUGUAUCGAUUCGAUUGUGCGAUUCAUUAUGAUCAGAAUUAUUCCUUCCUGAUUUUAGUUUAGUGACUGGCGAUGAUUAAUUCAAUUAGAAACACCAGUUGGAAUUAUUUACGGGUAGUAUUUAUUUAUGAAACUGAAUAUUAUAAUCUCUUAUUAUUCUGGCUAGUUGUACUUUGUGUGAAAAAUUCUUUCAGGUUAGCAAGAAAAACUGAUUAACGAAGACGAACAAGACAAGAAACAUUCAAGUGCAGUUUACUUCAAUUUAUGAUUAAUCAAUUUAUUACCGAUGAUGAAAAAUGAACGAGGCUAACGGUAGAUGACGUAUCGGACGAGUAUUGAUGGUGUUUCAUAUUACUUUCAAUCAGGAUGAGAAUGAACUGAACUUUUUGGUCAAACUACUAGCUUUUCGAAAACACAUAGGUAUACAGAUCUUUGUAGACGAUGAAAAAUAAACAAGGCCAACAGUAGAUGGUGAAUCGGACGAGUAGAUUGCAGCCAUCGUUACGUUCUUCUAGAGAAAACAUGUGGAUGUUUACAAAGCGCAGUUUCAUAUUGAAGUUGAAGAAAGUGUGCAAAAUGAAAAGCACGCUCACCUAUUAAAAAAAAAAAAUACCUUAAGGAUGCUUCAUCUUGCGGAAAAAACACUUACAUUCUUUCUAAAAAUCGUUGAAGUUUGGUGUGAAAGUGAUGAAAAUUUUUGUAUGAGUCUUGGCGGUUUUUUUGAUACCACGUAUUUUUUUUAAAAACUUUUUUCACGCAGAGUCUAUCUUUUUUUCCAACUUGACGAUUUUUUUGCUUUUAAAGCAUUUUUUGGGGAUGUCAUUCUUUUUUUUCAAAUUUAUUUUUUUCUUCAGUUUGACGGGUUUUUUGCUUUUUGAAGCAUCUUGCAGGCAUGAAAUUUGAUCACUUGAAAAGUGACUCAGUCACUAAUUUCACUUGCAAGUCACUUUGUUCACUAUUUCGGCGAAAAUAGUCAUAUUUCAAAGAUUUGUCGUGUAAAAAAGGAAAUGUGCAAAAUUUUAGGAAAUGAUCAAUAUUUUUCAUGAUAUGAGGAGGUUGGUUACAAAGUUAGACAAACGCCACUUCUACAAAAAUCGAGUUAGAUAUUGAUUCUUAUAGGAUUUUUAACGCUCUUUUCAUUGCCAAGGUCUGUUAUUUUCAAUAUAGUAUGUAAAAGGGUAAAAAACGUGCUCAAAGUUUUGCCUUAGUUUCAAACACAGACAUGUGCAAAUUGUCUUAGUUUCAAAAACAGACAUAUCCAGGAUAUGUCUCAUUUUGAAACUAAGAUAAUGUUCACAUGUCCGUGUUUGAAACUAAGGCGCAACUUUGAUCGCGUUUUUUGACCUUUUAUGUACUAUUUUGAAACUAAGGGACCUCAGAAAUGGAAAGAGGGUUAAAAAUCCUAUACGUAUGAAAACCUAACUGAUCUAGACAGCUUCAAUUUCAAAUUAUCUUUAUCUUGGUUUCAAAAUCAGACAAGUGCAUUUUCAGGUUCUUUUUAAUAGUGGUGGGGGUUGAUGGUGGAAGGAUAUUUUUUGUAUUUUUGUUACUCAGUAUCAUCACUACAAUUUGUCAAAUAUCCCCCACCUUUACAAUGCUGUAUAUUUUUGUAACAAAAAACAAAGAUUUUCUCAAAAUCAACCUUGUGGCGUUUGCCUAACUUUGUCACCAAGCUCCUCAUAUGAAUCAUCAUUUGAAAAAAAAAUAAAAAUCAACUAUUCUACAUUGAAAAUGUAAGCCGAUGUGAUUGGAUAAGGUCGAUAUUUUUUAAACCGUACAAAAGUAUAUCGAAAGAGCAUGCAAAAAUUCAUCACCAGCCAAAAUUUCAAAUGUUCAAGGGAAUUUUUUAAAUUUUGGUGAAUUUUUGAAAAUCAAAUUUAGGCCAAAAAUGAGGGGAAAAAUCAAAAUUUUACCAAAUUGACCAAGAAAGCUGAAAUUUGGAAUAUGCCCUGUUUUCAACACGCCAAAUCGAUUGGAAACUGUUUCAACCCGUUUUGAGCAGUUCUGGAGCCUUCAGAAGGUAUUUGAAACUCAAAAUUUCACAAAAUUUCAUUAAAUGGAGGUGGAAAACCGAAAUUCAUUCUGCGAACUAAUUUCAAUACGUUACGACGUCGACUGCAGGUGGAUUUCAAGCCGUUUCGGAGCCUCCAGCGACUUUUUGAAAAUUACUGGAGUCACCAGAUUUUUGAAACUUGAAAUUCCCACAACAUUUUAUCAAACGGAGUUAGCAAGCGAAGCUGAAAUUUACUUCGCGAACUAAUUUCAACACGAUAUGAAUUCGACUGCAUGGUAGUUUCAAAUGGUUUUGAAGCUUCCAGCUACUCUGUGGAAAUUUCGAUUUUCCAAAAAACGCCGUACAACCUUUCAAAAAGUCGCUGGAGGCUCCAAAACGACUAGAAAUCCACCAGCAGUCGACUUCGUUGCGUAUUGAAAUUAGUUUGCAGAGUGAAUUUUGGCUUUCCAUCUCCAUUUGACGAAAUUUGGGAAAAUUUCAAGUUUCAAAAAUCUACUGGAGGCUCCAGUAAUUUUCAAACGGCCGCCGGAGGCUCCAAACCCACUUGAAAUCCACCUGCAGUCGACUUCGUAGCGUAUUGGAAUUAGUUUGCAGAAUGAAUUUCGUGAAAUUUUGUGGGAAUUUCGGGUUUCAAAAAUCUGCUGGUGGCUCAAGAACUGCUCAAAACAAGUUGAAACAGUUUCCAAUCGAUUUGGCGUGUCGAAAAUAGGGUAUAGCCCAAAUUUCAGUUUUCUUGGUUGCUUUGGUAAACUUUUGAUUUUGAUUUACAACAAUUCACCAAAAAUCGAAAAAGGCACUUUAGCACUUGAAAUUUUUGCCUGAUCUUUUGAUCUACCUUUGUACGUUUUAAAAAAUUUCGUGCAAGUACAAGUCGCUGGAGGUAGCAGUCGACUCUGUUGCGUAUUUGCAGAAUAAAUUUUUGCUUUCCUGAAAUUGCCAGUAAUUUUCAAAAAGUCGCUGGAGGCUCCGAAACUACUUGAAAUCCACCUGCAGUCGAAUUCGUGGCGUAUCGAAAUUAUUUUGCAGAAUAAAUUUUGGCUUUCCAACUCCAUUUGAUGAAAUUUUGUAGGAAUUUCGGGUUUCAAAAAUUUUUUGGAGGCUCCAGAAUUGCUCAAAACGGAUUGAAACAGUUUCCAAUCGAUUUGGCGUGUCGAAAAUAGGGUAUAUCCCAAAUUGCAGCUUUCUUGGUCAAUUAAGUAAAAUUUUGAUUUUUUCUCCUCAUUUUGGCGUGAAUUUGAUUUUUAGAAAUUCACCAAAAAUCGAAAUAGGCACUUUAGCAUUUGAAAUUCUGACAGGUGAUGAAUAUUGCCUUAUCUUUCGAUCUACCUUUGUAUGGUUUAAAAAGUUUCGUACAAGUCCUUUGUUGGAACGCUAGAUCUGCGCUUAUCAGUGCUUUUGAAAUCAGAAAAAAAAACUGAUCAUCGGUCAACAUGAAAUACAUUUAGAUAUUGUCAUUUUCCUUUUUCUCAGUUGGUGCUAAAAAUAAAAUUUUAUAUCCAUAAAAAAAUGAAAAUUAAAAAAUCAAAAAUGUGGUUAUUAAAAGCAAAAUAGAAUUCUAAA